UGGGGAAUCUUGCGCAAUGGGGGAAACCCUGACGCAGCAACGCCGCGUGGGUGAUGAAGGCCUUCGGGUCGUAAAGCCCUGUCAGGUGGGAAGAAACCCAUCGGUGCGAAUAGCACCGGUGAUUGACGGUACCACCGGAGGAAGCACCGGCUAACUCCGUGCCAGCAGCCGCGGUAAUACGGAGGGUGCAAGCGUUGUUCGGAAUUACUGGGCGUAAAGCGCGUGUAGGCGGUCGGGUAAGUCAGAUGUGAAAGCCCCCGGCUUAACUGGGGAACUGCAUUUGAAACUGCCUGGCUCGAGUUCGGGAGAGGAGAGUGGAAUUCCUGGUGUAGAGGUGAAAUUCGUAGAUAUCAGGAGGAACACCGGUGGCGAAGGCGGCUCUCUGGCCCGACACUGACGCUGAGACGCGAAAGCGUGGGGAGCAAACAGGAUUAGAUACCCUGGUAGUCCACGCCGUAAACGAUGGGCACUAGGUGUGGGAGGUAUUGACCCCUUCCGUGCCGAAGCUAGCGC
This 513-nucleotide ribosomal RNA is filed under the name uncultured Pseudomonadota bacterium. Its description in RNAcentral is "bacterial SSU rRNA". It matches the Rfam family "Bacterial small subunit ribosomal RNA", at positions 355 to 858 of the family's 1533-position model. Lineage: Bacteria; Pseudomonadati; Pseudomonadota. The record is from RNAcentral.